GCGGGGCCGACCAGUCCGCGAUGGCUGAUGGGAGUAGUAGUCCAGCAGCUGUGCCCGCCCGAAGAGAGAUGAGGAGUGGUGGCAGCGCCGCCUUCCUGCAGUCCUCAGGGACUGGACGUUUCAUUUCACGCGGACCAGCCUAGUUUAAUCACGAGAAAAUAUCCGGCAAGCCCAAUCUGAGGGACAAAAUACCUCACCAAUACUCCUCAAAGAUGUCAAGGUCACGAAAGACAAGGAAAGACGGAAAGUGUUGCCGAUUAGAAGAGACAAAGGGGACAGGACGACUAAAUGCAGUGUGAUGUUCUGGAUCGAAUCCUGGGACAAAGAAAGGACAGCAGAAAAACUGGUGAUUAGGGUGGCCUGGUAACCACCUGGUGACCGUCCCAGUUUUCCCAGGACUGGAGGAACUUCAGGAAUAUUGGACUUUCAGUUUUAAAACCAAACCAUUCAAGUUUUGGGCACCUGGGAGCUCUAAUUGUGAAAUUCAAAUAAAGUCUAUAGCUUCAUUCAUAA
Manis pentadactyla (Chinese pangolin) is the source of this 513-nucleotide long non-coding RNA. RefSeq lists it as uncharacterized. The transcript is spliced from 2 exons. Lineage: Eukaryota; Metazoa; Chordata; Mammalia; Pholidota; Manidae. The record is from RefSeq and is a predicted model, not a curated record.